GACGAACGCUGGCGGCGCGCUUAACACAUGCAAGUCGAGCGAUGAAAUUUCGACAGAUCCCUUCGGGGUGAAGAUGAAAUGGAUUAGCGGCGGACGGGUGAGUAACACGUGAGUAACCUGCCUUUGACAUUGGGAUAGCCUCGGGAAACUGGGAUUAAUACCAAAUGACACUAACUGAUCACAUGAUCAAUUAGUCAAAGAAAUUCGGUCAAAGAUGGACUCGCGGCUGAUUAGCUAGUUGGUGAGGUAACGGCCCACCAAGGCGACGAUCAGUAGCCGGCCUGAGAGGGUGAUCGGCCACAUUGGAACUGAGACACGGUCCAAACUCCUACGGGAGGCAGCAAUGGGGAAUAUUGCACAAUGGGGGAAACCCUGAUGCAGCGACGCCGCGUGAGCGAAGAACGCCUUCGGGUCGUAAAGCUCUUUUAUGAGGGAAGAUAAUGACGGUACCUCAAGAAAAAGCCCCGGCUAACUACGUGCCAGCAGCCGCGGUAAUACGUAGGGGGCUAGCGUUGUCCGGAAUCACUGGGCUUAAAGGGUUCGCAGGCGGAAUACCAAGUCAGAUGUGAAAGGCCAUGGGCUCAACCGAUGUAGGCUUUUGAAACUGUAAUUCUUGAGAGGUGGAGAGGUAAGAGGGAUUCCUAGUGUAGCGGUGAAAUGCGUAGAUAUUAGGAGGGAUACAUGUGGCGAAGGCGAUUUACUGGACACAAAUUGUACGCUGAGGAACGAAAGCGUGGGUAGCAAACAGGAUUAGAUGCCCUGGUAGUCCACGCCGUAAACGAUGAGUGCUAGGUGUCGGGGGAGACCUCGCUGCCGGCGUUAACACAAUAAGCACUCCGCCUGGGGAGUACGUGCGCAAGCAUGAAGCUCAAAGGAAUUGACGGGGACCCGCACAAGCAGCGGAGCAUGUGGUUUAAUUCGACGCAACGCGAAGAACCUUACCAGGGCUUGACAUACUGAGGGCGUACUUAGAGAUAAGUAUUCUCCUUCGGGAGCCUCAAUACAGGUGGUGCAUGGUUGUCGUCAGCUCGUGUCGUGAGAUGUUCAGUUAAGUCUGGCAACGAGCGCAACCCUUACCUUUAGUUACCAGCAUUACGGAUGGGGACUCUAAAGGGACUGCCGAUGAUAAAUCGGAGGAAGGUGGGGAUGACGUCAAAUCAUCAUGCCCUAUAUGCCGUGGGCUACACACGUGCUACAAUGGUCGGAACAGAGGGAAGCAACAGAGCGAUCUCAAGCAAAUCUCAUAAAUCCGAUCCCAGUUCGGAUUGCACUCUGCAACUCGAGUGCAUGAAGUCGGAGUUGCUAGUAAUCGCAGAUCAGCAUGCUGCGGUGAAUGCGUUCCCGGGUCU
Molecule: ribosomal RNA, 1349 nt
Filed under: uncultured bacterium
Lineage: Bacteria
Description: bacterial SSU rRNA
Rfam family: Bacterial small subunit ribosomal RNA
Source: RNAcentral